CGAAUUAUCACAAUAGACAAACCGACCUCCAAUGCGUAGCUGAACGAACCUCUAUUAUGGAUCAAAAGCCAACCUUGGUGCCCUCGCCGCCAAUUGACUGGGUCCAACCAUUGGCUUGACCGAGCCCAUGGCAUCCAAUGGCACCAACCACCCGAAGAAACGAUCAACAGCGUAGUCUUAUGCCGACGGCUGCGAGGAGCCGGGAAUUGGAGCAAAACGGGGACGUACUCUCUCCAAUGGCGGUCGUAGCGAACGCAUGUGCCGCCCCUCGUGCACGCCGAAGGGGUCGCGGCACUGUUGGGAAAUUUCCGCAAACACGUCAAGGGCAAGCCCAUGGUCUUCUGCUUGGACGUGAACCCCGUCUGCUGCGAGGAAGCCGAGCCCAGCCUGCGCUCCUUCGUUCGCUGGCUCGCACUUUUCUUCCACAAGUCAGCCUCCGCGAUCCCGUCAUUGACCUAAGCUCGCCAAUCUUAUCUAAAUUAUUCAUCGGAACGCCCAGAAUGAUAGCUCGAGAACCUAAUUUUCCAUAAAGAUUGCUACUUUAUUGGUGUUAGACAUGGGGAAGAAGGGAGUGAGUGCAGAAGGAAGCUGCUGCCUUCAAGAAAGCUCACAGGAGGAGUGCUUUCAGGUAAUUUUUGGCACCUCGCACCGUUGUCGGAAUGGUUUUGAUGGUGGUCUGAGUUCUGCUGAGCCGCAAGUGAUGGAUGUUCUUCGAAAGUGCAACAUGCCGGUUAUUAAAGUAAAUGGCCAUGAGGCAGAUAAUGUUGUAGCAAUGCUUCCAGACCAGGUUUUGCAAAAAGGGUUUCGAGUUGUUCUUGGCUAUCCAGAAAAAGAUUUCAACCACCUGAUAUGUGAAGAUGUGCAAAUGGUCAUGCCACGCUUGAGUUUGGUUGUUGGUCUUUUACACAUUAAGGCAUUACCUUGCCCAGUAUAAGUAUGACCCGAGCUCUGAUUUGGGCCUUCAUGAGUAUAAGGUAUUUGUGUUGCGUCCUGUUAUGCCAUUCUUCUCCAAAUGCUCCAGGUUAUUGAUGGUAUCACUUUAAGAUGGUAUUUUAUGGGAGAUGAAGCUGAUGGUGUUCCUGGAAUUCAGCACUUGGCCUCAGCUUUGGUCACAAGACAGCCCUGAAACUCUUUAGAAAGCAUGGUCCUUUUAAGAAUUGACUCGAUGCAGCUGCAAUAGUAACAAUGGGUAAAGAUUAUGCCCAGGAUGUUCUCACAAAAUAUGCUGAUUAUCUGCAGAAAAAUUAUGAGGUUCUUAGCUUAAGGAGGUAUAUCCUCAAUUUUCCAGACAACAAAAGAAGUUCUUUGACUUUUUAUUGACUUAGUUUGUGUUAUUUCCAAUGAUUCAAUUUACACAUUAUUUAUGAUUUCACAUAUGUGCAUAUAAGCAUCCAUUGUUGUUAAUAUCAAUGACUUGGCUAAUGGAUAGGGAUGUUAAUUU
Molecule: long non-coding RNA, 1441 nt
Organism: Elaeis guineensis (African oil palm)
Lineage: Eukaryota; Viridiplantae; Streptophyta; Magnoliopsida; Arecales; Arecaceae
Source: RefSeq, a predicted model, not a curated record